CCUACGGGUGGCAGCAGUGAGGAAUAUUGGUCAAUGGGCGCGAGUCUGAACCAGCCAAGUAGCGUGAAGGAUGACUGCCCUACGGGUUGUAAACUUCUUUUAUAAAGGAAUAAAGUGAGGCACGUGUGCCUUUUUGUAUGUACUUUAUGAAUAAGGAUCGGCUAACUCCGUGCCAGCAGCCGCGGUAAUACGGAGGAUCCGAGCGUUAUCCGGAUUUAUUGGGUUUAAAGGGAGCGUAGAGGGUUUGUUAAGUGAGUUGUGAAAGGUUGCGGCUCAACCGUAAAAUUGCAAUUGAUACUGGUAGUCUUGAGUACAGUUGAGGUAGGCGGAAUGCGUGGUGUAGCGGUGAAAUGCUUAGAUAUCACGAAGAACUCCGAUUGCGAAGGCAGCUUACUAAACUAUCACUGACAUUGAUGCUCGAAAGUGUGGGUAUCAAACAGGAUUAGAUACCCGUGUAGUC
RNAcentral lists this ribosomal RNA (460 nucleotides) under uncultured bacterium. RNAcentral's name for it is "partial 16S ribosomal RNA". It matches the Rfam family "Bacterial small subunit ribosomal RNA", at positions 338 to 795 of the family's 1533-position model. The record is from RNAcentral.